RNAcentral lists this long non-coding RNA (784 nucleotides) under Lepisosteus oculatus (spotted gar). RNAcentral's name for it is "lncRNA (ENSLOCG00000022246.1)". Lineage: Eukaryota; Metazoa; Chordata; Actinopteri; Semionotiformes; Lepisosteidae. The record is from RNAcentral.
AGAGAGGUGCCGUCCUAAAAAGGAGCAACAGGGGUCUCUCUCCAGCACAUUUCUCUUAAUUCGAUCGUCCGACCGCAAGCUAUACGAUCCCGGCGAGCGGCCUCGUUGGGGAAUGCCACUGUGUUAGGUUGUCUGAAAAUCCUUAGCCGUUAUAGUGUAUACUUUAUUUACGAUCUGGUGAGUUAAAGUUUCUAUUUAUCUUCAGCAUGGUCAGUGUUGAACCCUUGUGACAGAAUUCACAGCUGUCAUUCAGGAGCCGAGCCCGCCUCCAGAGUGGCCUUCCUCAGCGGACACGCCCCGUCCACCUGUUCCACAGGUGCGCCCGGCAAGAUGGCGGUUGGAUGAGUUUCUGCGGCUUUAGGUGACAAAAGGAUUUCAAGAGGGGAUCUCCAGUUAUGGAAAAACUGUUUUUUCCAGGUUCUGCUGCUCUUGGUCCUCAGCGCUCCGACGAUCUCCUUUCCAGCAACUCUUCGUGCGUUGGCAAGUUCUUCUUGGCAAUGUGUAUUUCUCCUUAAAUUUCGUUAUUGACACCAGUGGCUUGAUCUGAAAUGCACCGAUUGAGUGAUGUAUCUUGCUCUUCAUGUAGCGAAGUUCUUAACCUGUGUUUUCCUGUUGACUGCUGCUAUGUGCUGUGCAUUGUACAAUAAAAGCUGUUGAUCGCAUUUUCUGAAUUGUCUUCUAUUUUUUGAAGGGGUGUUGGAAGGGUUUGCUCUGGGCUGAUGUCUCAGUACUGUAAGUGUUUGGCUGGAGAUUCUGGAGCGAUCACAAGCAGUUUCCAAGAAAC